UACGUAGGGGGCUAGCGUUGUCCGGAUUUACUGGGCGUAAAGGGUGAGUAGGCGGUUAUGUAUGUCAGAUGUAAAAGGCGUGGGCUUAACUUACGUUAGCAUUUGAAACUGCAUAACUUGAGUGCGGGAGAGGUAAGUGGAAUUCCUAGUGUAGCGGUGAAAUGCGUAGAUAUUAGGAGGAACACCAGUGGCGAAGGCGACUUACUGGACCGUAACUGACGCUGAGUCACGAAAGCGUGGGUAGCAAACAGG
Molecule: ribosomal RNA, 252 nt
Filed under: uncultured bacterium
Lineage: Bacteria
Description: partial 16S ribosomal RNA
Rfam family: Bacterial small subunit ribosomal RNA
Source: RNAcentral